UUCCCCGCCUCACCGAGCGCUCGCCCUUCGCCCCGCUGCAGGGGGGCGUGCGGGGCCGCUCGGCGCUCCCGGCUGCACCCUCCCCGCCAGCCGUUCGGAGACGGCCUGGCGCCGGGGCCUGGACGUCCUCCCGCCCGAGUGCCCCGCCGGGCGCUGCGGGCCCGGUCCGGGAGGGGCGCCGCAUCUGUAUGCGCCCGGCGGCCCGGCAGCGCCGCCCNNNNNNNNNNNNNNNNNNNNNNNNNNNNNNNNNNNNNNNNNNNNNNNNNNNNNNNNNNNNNNNNNNNNNNNNAGCCGCGGCGCCCGCUCCGAUCGGCUCGGGGCUGCGCCCCCGGGACCCGGCGACGGGGGCGGGCGGGGACGCUCCCCGCCGGCCUGGGCCCCUCGGCACCGCCAGGUAAGGGCGCCUGCCCCGGAGCCCGGGGUCGGGAACCCGCGGAGGGGCAGCAGGGGGCCCGCAGCCUGCGGGUGUCUUCAGAGCGGUGCGCUCCGUGGCUGGGAGCCCACUGCCGGCUCCCUUCUCCCGCGCUCUACCUCUUUCCCUUCUUCCCUCGCACCUCUCUCCCUCCUUUCCCCAUUUUCCUCUCCCUCGGUUUCUCUUCACCCUGCCUUGUCUCUGCCUGUUUGCCUCUUCUGCCCCUUCCCUCUCCCUCUUGCCCUGUCUCUCCACCUCCUCUUCCUCUUUGCCUUUUCCUUCCUCUACCUUUCCUUUCCUGUCUUUCUCUUUGCCUUUUCCCGCUCUCCUUUCCUUCCCCCGUCUCUUCCCUCUCGCCGCCUCUUCCCUUCUCUCUAUCCUGUUUCCUACUCCUCCAGCCCUUUCCUUCUCCUUCUCGUCCUGCCUCCCGCUCUGGUCCCCGGCUUCCCUCUUCCCUCGGGAGGGAAGGGACUGGCAGGUGUGUGUCUGCUGUGGGGGAGGAGGGGCGGCAGCCACAGCUACCUGAGGGGUCCCCCCAGGAGGAGAGGGAGGGGACAGCAGUGAGAAGGGUCCCCUCUCCAGCUCCCUUCCCCAAGCCCCUCCUGGCUGCCCCCUCUCUCAGAUUGAAGUUCCCGAGGCCUGCUCUGACCCCCACAGCUGAGGGCUACCCCCCACCUGCCCAUCACUUGCAGAAAGCCCCUCUGCCCCCCUCCUACCCAUUCCCAAGCCUGUUACCUAUGACUCCUCUCUGCCUGUCAGACACCCAGGCUGCCUCCUUUGAUCUCUUUCCUUGUGUCUCUUGCUGCCAUUCUGUCUCAGUCUGUGCCGGACAGUGCCUGAGUCUGGGUCUCACCAUCACUAGCACUGAGUCUGUAGUCUCUGCUCUCCUCUCCCAGCCUCCUGGCCCUGCCCCCAGCUCUACACCCUCUUCUUUCUUCCCCUCACACUGCCUCCUGAGCCCAGUCCCCCUUCAAGGACUUCACCUAGCAGUGUGGGUUGGGGGCAGGUUCCGGAGAGGUGGGGUUCCCUAUGGAGGAGGGACUUCCAGAGGCUUUCAACCCUGUCUCAGCCUGCACGCCUUGUCAUAG
RNAcentral lists this long non-coding RNA (1500 nucleotides) under Ailuropoda melanoleuca (giant panda). RNAcentral's name for it is "lncRNA (ENSAMEG00000023958.1)". Lineage: Eukaryota; Metazoa; Chordata; Mammalia; Carnivora; Ursidae. The record is from RNAcentral.